UUUUGUUUUUCCCCCCCCUUGAGUAAUAGCAAUUUGCAUCUGUGUAAAGCAGAAAAAAAAAAAAGUCAGAGCAAUGAGAUUAUGCUGACAAGUGCCUGAUACAAACAGGAGGAGAAUGGGAACUGACUGACUGAUGGAACCAGACAGUAUCUCUCAGCUCAAGAUGUUUUGGAAUUCCCUUUUCCUGUAGAUAUUUGAAUUGGAUGACUACUCAAAUUGACCAGCAUGUGGCAUUGACUGGAGAGUGCCUGAAGUACUGGAGGGCAGGAAUCCAGGUGAUGCUAUGGAACUGGAAGUGAGAAUUGAUGAAAAUGAUGAUACUUCAUGACUGGGAUACAGAUACUGUUCUUAGGCAAAACCAGUCAGGCCUCCUAAUGCAGGAUAGUGAAG
This 390-nucleotide long non-coding RNA is filed under the name Lonchura striata (white-rumped munia). RNAcentral's name for it is "domestica (Bengalese finch) lncRNA (ENSLSDG00000003968.1)". The record is from RNAcentral. Lineage: Eukaryota; Metazoa; Chordata; Aves; Passeriformes; Estrildidae.